CGGUCCGUGGUGGAACGGCAGACACGCCAGCUUCAGGUGCUGGUGCCCCGUCGUGGGCGUGAGGGUUCGACUCCCUCCGGACCGACCA
Molecule: transfer RNA, 88 nt
Filed under: Myxococcaceae bacterium
Lineage: Bacteria; Pseudomonadati; Myxococcota; Myxococcia; Myxococcales; Myxococcaceae
Description: tRNA-Leu
Rfam family: tRNA
About the family: Transfer RNA (tRNA) molecules are approximately 80 nucleotides in length. Their secondary structure includes four short double-helical elements and three loops (D, anti-codon, and T loops).
Source: RNAcentral